RNAcentral lists this transfer RNA (52 nucleotides) under Acinetobacter radioresistens. RNAcentral describes it as "tRNA-Phe". It matches the Rfam family "tRNA", at positions 1 to 50 of the family's 71-position model. Rfam says of the family: Transfer RNA (tRNA) molecules are approximately 80 nucleotides in length. Lineage: Bacteria; Pseudomonadati; Pseudomonadota; Gammaproteobacteria; Moraxellales; Moraxellaceae. The record is from RNAcentral.
GGCGCGAUAGCUCAGUCGGUAGAGCAACGGAUUGAAAAUCCGUGUGUCGGCA